GGCUAUAGGUCUGCCUUAACUAAGGGUAAACCAGGUACACUCACUGGGCUAUAGGUCUGCCUUAACUAAGGGUAAACCAGGUACACUCACUGGGCUAUAGGUCUGCCUUAACUAAGGGUAAACCAGGUACACUCACUGGGCUAUAGGUCUGCCUUAACUAAGGGUAAACCAGGUACACUCACUGGGCUAUAGGUCUGCCUUAACUAAGGGUAAACCAGGUACACUCACUGGGCUAUAGGUCUGCCUUAACUAAGGGUAAACCAGGUACACUCACUGGGCUAUAGGUCUGCCUUAACUAAGGGUAAACCAGGUACACUCACUGGGCUAUAGGUCUGCCUUAACUAAGGGUAAACCAGGUACACUCACUGGGCUAUAGGUCUGCCUUAACUAAGGGUAAACCAGGUACACUCACUGGGCUAUAGGUCUGCCUUAACUAAGGGUAAACCAGGUACACUCACUGGGCUAUAGGUCUGCCUUAACUAAGGGUAAACCAGGUACACUCACUGGGCUAUAGGUCUGCCUUAACUAAGGGUAAACCAGGUACACUCACUGGGCUAUAGGUCUGCCUUAACUAAGGGUAAACCAGGUACACUCACUGGGCUAUAGGUCUGCCUUAACUAAGGGUAAACCAGGUACACUCACUGGGCUAUAGGUCUGCCUUAACUAAGGGUAAACCAGGUACACUCACUGGGCUAUAGGUCUGCCUUAACUAAGGGUAAACCAGGUACACUCACUGGGCUAUAGGUCUGCCUUAACUAAGGGUAAACCAGGUACACUCACUGGGCUAUAGGUCUGCCUUAACUAAGGGUAAACCAGGUACACUCACUGGGCUAUAGGUCUGCCUUAACUAAGGGUAAACCAGGUACACUCACUGGGCUAUAGGUCUGCCUUAACUAAGGGUAAACCAGGUACACUCACUGGGCUAUAGGUCUGCCUUAACUAAGGGUAAACCAGGUACACUCACUGGGCUAUAGGUCUGCCUUAACUAAGGGUAAACCAGGUACACUCACUGGGCUAUAGGUCUGCCUUAACUAAGGGUAAACCAGGUACACUCACUGGGCUAUAGGUCUGCCUUAACUAAGGGUAAACCAGGUACACUCACUGGGCUAUAGGUCUGCCUUAACUAAGGGUAAACCGGGUACACUCACUGGGCUAUAGGUCUGCCUUAACUAAGGGUAAACCAGGUACACUCACUGGGCUAUAGGUCUGCCUUAACUAAGGG
This is a long non-coding RNA of Oncorhynchus keta (chum salmon), 1222 nucleotides long. RefSeq lists it as uncharacterized. The record is from RefSeq and is a predicted model, not a curated record. Lineage: Eukaryota; Metazoa; Chordata; Actinopteri; Salmoniformes; Salmonidae. The transcript has 3 exons.